Molecule: long non-coding RNA, 246 nt
Filed under: Ananas comosus (pineapple)
Lineage: Eukaryota; Viridiplantae; Streptophyta; Magnoliopsida; Poales; Bromeliaceae
Description: long non-coding RNA (ACOM_LNC022729)
Source: RNAcentral
AAAUAUGUUUCAAGAGUUAUUAAUACGACUGACCGUUCCUAGAGCAAGUGACAAAGAAUUUGGUAAUUGAUAUCCGAAAUUUAAAUUCGAAUCCUAAUUGAUUCACAUUUUUUGCUAAGUUUAUUUAUAAAUAAAAUAAACGAGACGAAUAGCGUACUACCUAUCUUUGAAAAAAGAAAGAAAAGAAAAGGAGUUAUUAAUACGUUCACAAACUCAUAUAAUUUCUUACAUUACGAGGACAAAUUA